CCUACGGGUGGCAGCAGUGGGGAAUAUUGGACAAUGGGCGAAAGCCUGAUCCAGCCAUGCCGCGUGUGUGAAGAAGGCCUUCGGGUCGUAAAGCACUUUCAGUGGGGAAGAAAGCCUUGGGGCUAAUACCCUCGAGGAAGGACAUCACCCACAGAAGAAGCACCGGCUAACUCCGUGCCAGCAGCCGCGGUAAUACGGAGGGUGCGAGCGUUAAUCGGAAUUACUGGGCGUAAAGCGCGCGUAGGCGGUCUGAUAAGCCGGUUGUGAAAGCCCCGGGCUCAACCUGGGAACGGCAUCCGGAACUGUCAGGCUAGAGUGCAGGAGAGGAAGGUAGAAUUCCCGGUGUAGCGGUGAAAUGCGUAGAGAUCGGGAGGAAUACCAGUGGCGAAGGCGGCCUUCUGGACUGACACUGACGCUGAGGUGCGAAAGCGUGGGUAGCAAACAGGAUUAGAUACCCUUGUAGUC
Molecule: ribosomal RNA, 465 nt
Filed under: Vreelandella stevensii
Lineage: Bacteria; Pseudomonadati; Pseudomonadota; Gammaproteobacteria; Oceanospirillales; Halomonadaceae
Description: partial 16S ribosomal RNA
Rfam family: Bacterial small subunit ribosomal RNA
Source: RNAcentral